RNAcentral lists this ribosomal RNA (230 nucleotides) under uncultured Thalassiosira. Its description in RNAcentral is "partial Bacterial large subunit ribosomal RNA". It matches the Rfam family "Bacterial large subunit ribosomal RNA", at positions 2078 to 2307 of the family's 2925-position model. The record is from RNAcentral. Lineage: Eukaryota; Bacillariophyta; Thalassiosirophyceae; Thalassiosirales; Thalassiosiraceae.
GGACGGAAAGACCCCAUGGAGCUUUACUGCAGUUUGAUAUUGAGUAUCUGUACCACAUGUACAGGAUAGGUAGGAGCCUAUGACCUCGGGACGCCAGUUUCGAGUGAGGCGUUGUUGGGAUACUACCCUUGUGUUAUGGCUACUCUAACCCAGAUAGGUUAUCCCUAUCGGAGACAGUGUCUGACGGGCAGUUUGACUGGGGCGGUCGGCUCCUAAAAGGGAACGGAGGC